UGGGGAAUUUUGCGCAAUGGACGAAAGUCUGACGCAGCAACGCCGCGUGGGUGAUGAAGGUCUUCGGAUCGUAAAACCCUGUCGUCAGGGACGAAGGUUGUGUUCUUAAUAGGGAUGCAGCUUGACGGUACCUGGAGAGGAAGCCCCGGCUAACUCUGUGCCAGCAGCCGCGGUAAUACAGAGGGGGCAAGCGUUAUUCGGAAUUAUUGGGCGUAAAGGGCGCGUAGGCGGUGUUUUAAGUGAGAUGUGUAAUCCCCGAGCUCAACUUGGGAACUGCAUCUCAUACUGGGACGCUAGAGUGCUGGAGAGGGUGGUAGAAUUCCACGUGUAGCGGUGAAAUGCGUAGAGAUGUGGAGGAAUACCAGUGGCGAAGGCGGCCACCUGGACAGUAACUGACGCUGAGGCGCGAAAGUGUGGGUAGCAAACAGG
RNAcentral lists this ribosomal RNA (429 nucleotides) under uncultured bacterium. RNAcentral describes it as "bacterial SSU rRNA". It matches the Rfam family "Bacterial small subunit ribosomal RNA", at positions 355 to 776 of the family's 1533-position model. The record is from RNAcentral.